This 352-nucleotide ribosomal RNA is filed under the name uncultured Bacteroidota bacterium. RNAcentral describes it as "bacterial SSU rRNA". It matches the Rfam family "Bacterial small subunit ribosomal RNA", at positions 49 to 390 of the family's 1533-position model. Lineage: Bacteria; Pseudomonadati; Bacteroidota. The record is from RNAcentral.
UAACACAUGCAAGUCGAAGGAGAAGGGUGGUCUUCGGACUACCUGGAGACUGGCGCACGGGUGAGUAACGGGUAGACAACCUGCCUAUAACUGGGGGAUAACAUCGGGAAACCGGUGCUAAUACCGCAUAUUGUCACUGCCUCGCAUGAGGCGGUGAUGAAAAACUUCGGUUGGUUAUAGAUGGGUCUGCGUGCCAUUAGUUAGUUGGUGGGGUAAAAGCCUACCAAGGCGAUGAUGGCUAGGGGGUCUGAGAGGAUGAUCCCCCACACUGGAACUGAGACACGGUCCAGACUCCUACGGGAGGCAGCAGUGAGGAAUCUUGCGCAAUGUUCGCCCGCCGCGCCCCGCGCCC